Molecule: ribosomal RNA, 245 nt
Filed under: uncultured Lachnospiraceae bacterium
Lineage: Bacteria; Bacillati; Bacillota; Clostridia; Lachnospirales; Lachnospiraceae
Description: partial 16S ribosomal RNA
Rfam family: Bacterial small subunit ribosomal RNA
Source: RNAcentral
UACGUAUGGAGCAAGCGUUAUCCGGAUUUACUGGGUGUAAAGGGAGCGUAGACGGUGAGGCAAGUCUGAUGUGAAAGGUGUGGGCUCAACCCGCAAACUGCAUUGGAAACUGUCCCACUAGAGUGUCGGAGAGGUAAGUGGAAUUCCUAGUGUAGCGGUGAAAUGCGUAGAUAUUAGGAGGAACACCAGCGGCGAAGGCGGCUUACUGGACGAUAACUGACGUUGAGGCUCGAAAGCGUGGGGAG